AGCAAAAAAGUGUGGGCUGGGGAUGUGGCUCAAGCGGUAGCAUGCUUGCCUGGAGUGCGUGCGGCCCAUGUUCGAUCCUCAGCACCACAUAUAAACAAAGAUGUUGUGUCCGCCAAGAACUAAAAAAUAAAUAUUAAAAUUCUCUCUCUCUCUCAAAAAAAAAAAAAAGAGCAAAAAAGUGGCAGAAUUGUAAGAAAUACUUUUAGGUAAGUUAGUGAGUCACAGGUAAUCUAUCAUUGCAACAGAAACUACAGUAAUGCCUCUUGCUAACAAGUAAAUAAGUAAGGAAACAAAUAGCCCUUAACCAAACCAACAGGAGAGGGGGUGUUGGAUUAUGACACCCAAGCCCCACGCAAAGUCUGCACUCAACUGUGAUUGCUGAUCUGAGAGCAAUGGCAACCACAGAAAUGUUAUUUCCAUUAAAAAUGACUGAGGUAAAUGGGUGAAAAACACAGAAACGGACACGAGAACCAGCAACAAAAUAAAACACUCACUAAAUACAUACUUUAGAUUCCCCCAAAGAUCUGAGAUUACGAAUAAGGGUAGGAAUUUGUUAAAGAAAUCCUGGCCACAAUUUUCUAAAAGUGAUCAAAUACAUUAACCCACAGAUUUAAGACUUUCUACAGAAUCAACAAAAAAAUAAAAAAUAAAACAAAUCAUCAGAUACACCAGUAACUCCUUCAGAAAGGGAGAUCGUAUCUAACUGUACCAAUAGAAACACACACCUAGACAUAUAGUCAAUAGGAAAGACAGUAUUGAACUAGCAGCCAGAGGGGAACAGAAGACACUUGACCUUCAACAGAGAACAGGACAGUUGAAAACUGAGUGUCUUGCAGAGUAGUUGAAGCAGGAAGACAAGGGAUAAUAUCUUUAUCUUUAAAAAAAAUUAUCACUACCUCGACUUAUCUGCACAGCAGCUGUAUCCUUCAAAAUGGCACAAAUGUACCUUCAGACAAGAAAAUGCAUAGAAAUAAUUGCUAGCACAUGUCCAGUACAAGAAAUCCUGAAGGCCAUGGUCACAGAGAAGAAUGCCUAUGGCAGACGGAAGCCUGGGAGCCCAAGAAGCAUCACAAAAGGACAGAAAGGAGAUGACCCUGAAGUUCUCAUCAUGGGAGGAAAUACUGUUAACAAGCACAUCGUACCUGGCAUCCUGAGGAGAUGGAGCCUGGGAAUUCAGUGGACAUGUAACCCCAAGAGUCAGAUGCACAGUCCAAUCACAGAAGUGGAUCUCCAUGAGAUGUGCCUGCGACGGUGUGAACUGAGCACUGGUCAUGGCAGCAGACCUCGAGAAAGCCCUCCGUGGUCAGAUGCCAUGCAGGAGACAGGUGCGUGAGCAGCAGCUGGCUCUGAUGGCUGGGACUGUGGGUGGUUUGUCAGCGAGGCCUCCUGACUUGGCAAUGAUGACUCUGUGGGGUGGUCAGGCCCUGUUCUCCUGUGGGAAACCCUCCCAAGUUUCUGACUCUUUCCUCCUCAGGAAAGAGAGAUCAGAAGAUGCAUUUAAAUGCCACGUGGUACCCUCCAGAUGUGCACCUCUCCUGGGCAUAGCUGUUCUGUUUCCUUCCAUAAUAGACAGCCUUUCUGGAAAUUUCAUUAGACAUUUCUUUCCCCCUUACUCCCAAACAUCUAGCUAGCUCAGUGACUCAUCUAGCUAACUCAGUGACCUAGUGGUGGCUGCAGAUUUCCAUGCCAUAGAGACCUGUCUGGUGGAGCAGGAGAGGGGCCUGGGCACUCUGGAGUUGCGAGUACAUUGAGUGUCCCCAGAUCUCUUGCUUAUCAUGAUUGCCUGAGAACAUGGGCUGACUGUAAGUAGCAUCCUCUUGUGUCUCCUCCAUGUUGCUGGCCCUGGUGCUGGUGUAUUGUACGAGGGCAGCACGUGACUAGGAGGAGAAUCCAGGUCAGCAUUUGCCAGAACAAACCCUGUGGGAGGCUAUUUAGUGCAUCUUUCGAUGGUUCUUUCCAGCUUGAAACAAAACGACAACGACGACAACAAAAGACCUUGAUCAUUUCCAAAUGGCAUCUCAUUAAGAUGGAUGCAGAUGGACUCGGCUGUCCUCUGGUUCCAAGAGGUCAGCACAGUGGGUCAUCUAUGGGGCUGUCACUGAUGGACAGAACAGGAGCGGGUGCCCAUAAAUAUCUGGCAGCAGUAGUCAGUGCUUCUAUUUUAACUCCCCUCCUGGGCCGUAGAGGGAACUGCUGUGGCGUGAACACCGUCUUCUGGGUUCCUCCCAAACCCCCACACGGAGAGAGUGGGGUGCGGUGUAAAUAUUGUCAUCCUAUUUUUCCAGAUGGAGGCACCGGGCAGUCAUUAGGCUUCGUGACACCUCCAGAUCCUGGUGCUCUUUUGGAGUUCAGCUGAGGACCCUACACAGAUGCUGUCUCGUUGGCCCUGGCAGGCAGAGCUGCCCUCCCGUGUCUGCCACCCAAUGCUUUGGACCAUGGUGGAUGAUUUGAGGGUCCAUGCCCAGUCUUCCCUUUUUAAAGGCCUGCCUUUGUGGGCCCACCUUCCAUAAGGACAGAAAGCCUCUGUCCCCACGAGCUGUCCCACCUUAGUGACUCUGACUCCCUCUGCAUGCUCACAUUCCCCCUUGUCCAGGCUUCAGAGAGGAGUCUCACUUAACGCUUCCUCUCUCCCCGGCCAAUUCCUCAGCCUCCUCCAGGACAGAGCUAGAAUGCUGCUGUUCUGAGAAGGUGCCCUUGACUCCUGGUGGCUGCAGGUGUCCCUGUCAUGUGCUCUGCAGCCUCCCAGAGGCUUCUUCCCACAUCAGCCUCCUUACUUCUUGAGGCCGGGGUCAUGUGGUCUUAGAUCCCCACUGCAGGCUCUGUCAUGGCUCCUGGGCUGGCAUGACAUCCACUGCACAUGGAAUUAAAAGUUAGUCAGAGAGAGGGCACAGCAGGAGGAUGCAGGACCCUCACCAGGACAAGUGGGCUCAGAACCUGUGCUGGCAGGAACCCGGGGGACCUUGCUCAAGCACCAGGAGUUCCUGGCCUUCCCCUUCUGCCUAGUGAGAGGAAGCAUGAAGACAUUAUGUGGGGAUGGAAAAGCUUAGUUGGUGCAAAAUUGUAAUGCUUUGCAAUGAACACAUUUCUGCCCCAUCGACAAGCUGGUCUGGUGGCUAACAGCAUGGAUUCCAGAGUUGUCCUGGCUUGGCCUCUGCUGUAGUGUGACCUCUGUAAAAUGACUUAGCUUCUCUGUGCUUUGGCCCCACACCUGUGAAACAGGUGUGAUUAUCAGGGCACUCACUUCUCACUCUCCUCAUAACAUGUGGAAGCACCCGGAACAGUGCCCAGCACAGACGGGGCACAAUAGUGAUGUUGGCCACUAUUGCUUUGGUUAGUACUGCUAGUGUCACCUGCUAAGAGGACAGGCUGUGGAGGCUCCUGCACCAUCAUGGUCCUCCCACCUGACUGUGGCCAGUUUCACCUUGGGUUUGCUGCUCUGUGAACUGGCGUGCUGACACCUCAGUCUGAGGUCAUGUGCUUGUGUGACCUGAUGCCCUUUUCCCACCCCUUCCGGUGGACUGAGGUGGAAGCCAGGCAGGGAAAACAUGCCCAGCAGCCUCUCUCCAGGGCCCCCAAGGUGUGAGUGGCCACUCCUUGAAGUUCAGGGCUCUGACCUGGAGAAGCAGGUGGAUGCCAGACAACAGACUCUGGGCAGCAUCAGCAGGAGGCCGGAGAGGCCAGCCGUGCCAGGAAGCCUGCUCCGGCUCCCAGGCACCUCACGUUUUCCUGUUAUGCUGUGACUUAUAACCCUGUGCACAAAAGGCCCCUGAGGUGCUCCUGCCCUUCUCCAGCAGGGCCAAGGACAUCGUUAUGGAUUUCAUUAUUGCUACCUCCAGCUCUAAGUGUCUGGGAUCCCAUUAUAGCAACUCUGCCACAGUCCUGUUGAUAGGACUUCUAGGAAUAUAAAAUGCUGAGUCCACCUUCCUCAGACCCCGAUGUCCACUCCAUUACGCUCCCAACGUCCUCCGGGUGCGUGUGGUCUUGGUUACUAGUGAAUCUUCCUGAUUUUGCAUCCUCCCGAGUUCUCGCUGACUCAGCAGUUCACUUCCAACUUUCACCUUCCUAUUUCCACCCACUGACCUUCAUGUGGUCUUCUCUUCCUCCCUCAUCGACCACCCCACCCAUCAGUGCUUCCCACCUCACUGGACGUCAGGCAUAUUACAGUCCAAACAGGAAGCCUCAGGAAGACCCAGAAAGAUUCAGCUCACUGAAGUUCAAGAAAAGGUGUCUUGCACCUCAUUAGCAUCAAUAUCUAGCUCCAUGCGUUGCUCAUUAGAUGUCUGGCUUCGGGCAUGUCACAGGAGCCUUCCUGGGCUCCUUCUCCUCCUGUGUGAAAUGGGAAUGAUCAGCACCUGACAUGGCCUGAGGGUGCAUCUACUACCUGGUGGAUCAGGGCUCACCUGACUUGGGUGGCGAGCCCUGCUGUCACUGGCCAGCCACUCCCGCUGAGUUUGGCCAGAGCUGUGAAGUUUCCCCACUUAGCCACACACUGUGGGGUAGAGACGCAGAGAUUUCUUCUGGUUUAUGGUGAGCUUGGAGAAACAGAAUCAAUCGACUCUGGCUCUUUGCCAGUCCUGGGGUGGUCCAGAUGGUGGGCUGCCGGCCAUAGAAAGGCUUUGGAGUGGCCGAUAAGAGAAGCCUCUCACACUGUCCUGCUGCAAGCCGGGUGCCAGCGCCUGCGCCUCCCUCUCAUGGCCGGGUGUCUAUUCACACGCUGUGCACUGGCUUACCACCUCAAGGGUUACAUGCCUCUUUUGAGCAGCGUAGAGCAUUAACUCAAGACUCUUUUGGUUUUAGUGUUAAGAGCCUCCCAUGCAGAAAUAAUCAAGUUUUGCUUCAGUGUUCUAUGGGCAAUCCUUAUGGGUUCCAAUUUAGAUAUCAUGAUAGCUGAGACUCUUACAAAGUAACAUUUUGUAACAUAAAUUUACUCAGUUUGGUAGGAACUUAGAAAUUUUGACAACAUUGCAUUUUAAAUUUAUUAGAGUGUCACACCUAGUAAACUCCAACACCAUGCAGUUGAUUAUUUUAAAAAGUUAUUCAUUUAUUCAUUCAAAAUAUGCGUUUUACGUCUUGUGUACUAUUUAACAUGUGGUUCAGAUCAGCUCUGUGCUCAUCUGAAGACUUCAAAGUGAACCAGGAAUGGGCGCUUCCCCCAAUAUCUGAAUGUCUGGGGCAGGAGUGAGAAAAACAAUCGCAGACGCAUACUCCUAGCACCGCAGAAGUCUGUGUGGGUUUGUGGAAUCCCAGAGGAAGAAAUGCGAUGAGUAUAAUUGCUCUAGAUGGUAUUUACUACUGACAGCUGAAGAGGGGCAAGAGAAUUAGACUCACUAAUGAGACAAUAGUAGUGUGAAAAAUAUUAUUUACUUGAAAUUCCGUCAAACAUAUACAUGUGAUGUGAAGGCUCUGUGUGGUUUGGACAUGGUCGGCCCCCUCUAAAACUCACUCUGAAAUUUGAUCUCCAUCAUGGUGGUGUGGGGUGGGGCCUCCAUGGUGAUUAGGUCACGGGAGGAUCCAUGACUUUCCCAUGGAAGUGGGGAGACUCAGACAGUGGUGGGUGAGUUACGGCCAGGGCAGGUUCUGUGAGGUGGGUCCGGCUCCCUCUUCCCUUUGCACACCUCCCGUGGCCCUAUCAUCUUUCUGCCCUGAGCUGCAGCAUCACAAGGCCCUCAACAGAUGUCAGCAACUGGCUCUUGGACUUCUGGGCCUCCAGGACCAUCAGCCAAGAUAGACCUUUCUUCUUUAUGAAUUACUGGGUCCAAGGUAUUAUGUUGUAUGAUGCAUUUUGGAUCAGCAAUGCUCCCAAAGCACUGGCCACGGCCCUCGGUGCUACUGAGAGUGGUAGAAACUCUAAGGGGAGGGGACUCAUGGUCAUCGAGGGGCCAGUGGGACCCCAGCCCCUUCCUCUUCCUUCCUCCUGCUUGAUGGCCGUGAGGUAAGCAGGCUUUGCUUCACCACCCACUAGGGGUGCAGGAGCAGCAGAAUGGAUGACCAUGGACCGAAGCUCCCAGACUCUGAGGCCAGAACACGGCCUUUGUCUUUAUAAGGAGAUUGUCUCAGGCAUUUGUGACGGUGACAGAAAACGGACUAAGAGGAGGUAGCAUAUAGAGAAGGGGCUGUGGCUGAACAAAUACCUGGACAGGUGGAGGCAGGGUUGGAACUGGGCACCGGGAGGCAGGGGUGGGUUUGAAGUGAUCGCUGGGAAAAGCCAGUAUCAGUGA
Molecule: long non-coding RNA, 6218 nt
Organism: Marmota monax (woodchuck)
Lineage: Eukaryota; Metazoa; Chordata; Mammalia; Rodentia; Sciuridae
Exons: 3
Source: RefSeq, a predicted model, not a curated record